Molecule: ribosomal RNA, 229 nt
Filed under: uncultured bacterium
Lineage: Bacteria
Description: partial 16S ribosomal RNA
Rfam family: Bacterial small subunit ribosomal RNA
Source: RNAcentral
UGCGUAGGCGGAUUAUUAAGUCAGUAGUGAAAUCCUGCAGCUCAACUGUAGAACUGCUAUUGAUACUGGUAAUCUUGAAUUUAGUUGAGGUGGGCGGAAUGUGUAAUGUAGCGGUGAAAUGCUUAGAUAUUACACAGAACACCGAUUGCGAAGGCAGCUCACUAAACUAAUAUUGACGCUGAGGCACGAAAGCGUGGGGAGCGAACAGGAUUAGAUACCCUGGUAGUCC